This 292-nucleotide ribosomal RNA is filed under the name uncultured bacterium. RNAcentral describes it as "partial 16S ribosomal RNA". It matches the Rfam family "Bacterial small subunit ribosomal RNA", at positions 505 to 796 of the family's 1533-position model. The record is from RNAcentral.
GUGCCAGCAGCCGCGGUAAAACGUAGGAGACGAGCGUUAUCCGGAUUUACUGGGCGUAAAGCGCGUGCAGGCGGCAUGGCAAGUUGGAUGUGAAAGCUCCCGGCUUAACUGGGAGAGGUCGUUCAAUACUGCCAGGCUUGAGAGUGGUAGAGGGAAGCGGAAUUCCGGGUGUAGUGGUGAAAUGCGUAGAUAUCCGGAGGAACACCAGUGGCGAAAGCGGCUUCCUGGCCCAUUUCUGACGCUCAGACGCGAAAGCUAGGGUAGCAAACGGGAUUAGAAACCCCUGUAGUCC